ACUAUGCUAAUCGUUCAUUUACCAUGUUGUUAUAUCUUCUAUGUUAGAUUUUUCGACAUGGAUGUUUUAAGUCAAUAAAAUUGGAAUCAAGGAUAUCUUUGUCACUUACUCAUUAGCUCACAUAGUCUUACUUGCGUGUGGUAGAGAGUUCUUUGUCUCUUUUCAUGUUUGCUCUAUCCAUUUUGUCGAUUUGAAGUAGCUUGAGAUUUCGUUCUUUUGCUAUUUUCCCGUCUGUUUGAUAUCCAUUUCUUUCCCUUUUAUUUCUUAGCCUCUCCUUCCUUCAUCGUUGAAUCUGUCGAUUCCUUUGAUUUUUUUAACCUUCUUGUUUGUCAGAGAAACCUAGAAAUUGAUAUAUAUGUUAGGUUUCUCCAAAAGUCAGAAUUAUCAAGUUAGAUUUCUAGAACUCAGAAAUCUGAAACAAGAAAUUGGGUGUUGGCCGAACUUUUAUCCAUUUUUGCUCUAUCCAAGUUACUCAUUAGAGUUAUUAGAGGAUCGUUUGCCACUCUUGCCAUGAGGACAAACAUCAAGCACACGUGCAAAGGCGCCAUGAGAAUGGAGACAUUUUAAACACCAUAUAUGUUUCACAAUGAUGCAGUAUUAUAGCUCGAUUUGCACUAUAUCAUCUGUAUGUUACAACUUGCGAUGAUUUCAUACUUGUGCUGUUGAGAGUUUUAUCUAAAUUGUAAAAAGUUCACAAGGGAGCAGUAGAACAGAGAUACAGUUUGUAAUAACAGAGUCCGUCCUUUUGUAACAUUUGAACAGGCGCAAGUAUUUACCACUAUAGAAAAUUAAACAUGCCAUGUAAUAUUUAUGUCUAAUGUUUGAAGCUUUGUUCUUAGCUGA
Molecule: long non-coding RNA, 843 nt
Organism: Lycium ferocissimum
Lineage: Eukaryota; Viridiplantae; Streptophyta; Magnoliopsida; Solanales; Solanaceae
Exons: 2
Source: RefSeq, a predicted model, not a curated record